GCGCGCGUAGGCGGACUGGAAAGUUGGGGUGAAAUACCCGGGGCUCAACCCCGGAACUGCCUCCAAACUACCCAGUCUUGAGUUCGAGAGAGGUGAGGUGGAAUUCCGAGUGUAGAGGUGAAAAUUCGUAGAUAUUCGGAGGAACACCAGUGGCGAAGGCGGCGUCACCUGGCUACGAUACUGACGCUGAGGUGCGAAAGUGUGGGGAGCAAACAGGAUUAGAUACCCUGGUAG
Molecule: ribosomal RNA, 234 nt
Filed under: uncultured bacterium
Lineage: Bacteria
Description: partial 16S ribosomal RNA
Rfam family: Bacterial small subunit ribosomal RNA
Source: RNAcentral